RNAcentral lists this non-coding RNA (101 nucleotides) under Pseudobacteriovorax antillogorgiicola. The record is from RNAcentral. Lineage: Bacteria; Pseudomonadati; Bdellovibrionota; Oligoflexia; Oligoflexales; Pseudobacteriovoracaceae.
GUCAUUAUUCAUGGCUUUGGUGAAGUACGGUGUAAAUCCGUCGCUGUCCCGCAACUGUGAGCCCGUUAGGGUGAGCCAGAUCCCAAAGUCAGGUGAAAUAA